GUGGGGAAUAUUGGACAAUGGGCGCAAGCCUGAUCCAGCCAUGCCGCGUGAGUGAUGAAGGCCUUAGGGUUGUAAAGCUCUUUCAGUGGGGACGAUAAUGACGGUACCCACAGAAGAAGCCCCGGCUAACUUCGUGCCAGCAGCCGCGGUAAUACGAAGGGGGCUAGCGUUGUUCGGAUUUACUGGGCGUAAAGCGCACGUAGGCGGAUCGUUAAGUCGGGGGUGAAAUCCUGGAGCUCAACUCCAGAACUGCCUUCGAUACUGGCGAUCUUGAUUCCGGAAGAGGUGAGUGGAACUCCUAGUGUAGAGGUGGAAGUCGUAGAUAUUAGGAAGAACACCAGUGGCGGAGGCGGCUCACUGGUCCGGUACUGACGCUGAGGUGCGAAAGCGUGGGGAGCGAACAGGAUUAGAAACCCUUGUAGUCC
Molecule: ribosomal RNA, 425 nt
Filed under: uncultured bacterium
Lineage: Bacteria
Description: bacterial SSU rRNA
Rfam family: Bacterial small subunit ribosomal RNA
Source: RNAcentral